CUCUGAAUGGUCUGAGCUCCAGUUUCUUACUGAGCAGAAUAAGUGUGCGUGUUAAAGUAGCCGUUGUUAGGUUUAUAAAUACAGCAACAUAUGCUAAUUUCCGUUAGCUCGUCUGUGGCGCAUCGCAUCAUUUGUAAGCAUUUAGCGAGCAGACUUUUGAUGGACAAAAACAUAGGAUUUGUUUGAACACUUUGGUUUAAUAAUGCAAUGUGUAAUUCUCUUGUUUUAUGUGGCAGUUUUACAGUAAACUUCAACUGGGAGUGACAAACAGCUUGAAGCAAGGACACUUUGACUCUUAUUUGGAAAACUGUGCAAACGACUGAGUACAGGUGGUUUUCAACCUAGUGCGGGUGGUUCUGGAAUAUAUCCUGUGCUAGAAAUGGCUGGUACACUGUAUUGCGCUUUUCUACCUUCAAAAUACCCAAGCAUUUUAGGACUGUCUCCUCAUUCAUCUGACAACACAUCAGGUGCAACUGGGGAGUUCAAUAUCUUGCUAUAGGACACUUUGACAUGGUUUCAGGGUCUCAGGUUCGUACCCUCAAGGUUGGGAGACGACCACUCGACCACCUGAGUCACUCCGCAACAUUAUUAUGCCCAGUCUUACUGCCUUGCCUUUAAAGAAUUAAACACUCUGAAACAACA
Molecule: long non-coding RNA, 642 nt
Organism: Phyllopteryx taeniolatus (common seadragon)
Lineage: Eukaryota; Metazoa; Chordata; Actinopteri; Syngnathiformes; Syngnathidae
Exons: 2
Source: RefSeq, a predicted model, not a curated record